This 420-nucleotide ribosomal RNA is filed under the name bacterium. Its description in RNAcentral is "partial 16S ribosomal RNA". It matches the Rfam family "Bacterial small subunit ribosomal RNA", at positions 355 to 776 of the family's 1533-position model. The record is from RNAcentral.
UGGGGGAUAUUGCACAAUGGGCGAAAGCCUGAUGCAGCGACGCCGCGUGGGGGAUGAAGGCUUUCGGGUUGUAAACCUCUUUCGCUAUCGAACAAGGCCCGCUUAGGGUGGGUUGAGGGUAGGUGGAGAAGAAGCGCCGGCUAACUACGUGCCAGCAGCCGCGGUAAUAAGUAGGGCGCGAGCGUUGUCCGGAAUUAUUGGGCGUAAAGGGCUUGUAGGCGGCUUGUUGCGCCUGCUGUGAAAACGCGGGGCUUAACUUCGCGCGUGCAGUGGGUACGGGCAGGCUUGAGUGUGGUAGGGGUGACUGGAAUUCCAGGUGUAGCGGUGGAAUGCGCAGAUAUCUGGAGGAACACCGAUGGCGAAGGCAGGUCACUGGGCCAUUACUGACGCUGAGGAGCGAAAGCAUGGGUAGCAAACAGG